AGUAACUUCACCCUUGCUUUUCCCCUUAUCUACACAACCGCCACAGUUCCAUUCAUUCCAUUCGCGUUCAGUUCAAAAUUAAUAACGCCGUUGUUUUGUUUGUUGCAGAGGACGAUGGCGAGACGAAGCAUCUAGAAGCGUUAGUAGAGGGGGCAGAGUCGCGCCUCCGUCUCUUCCAGAUCGACCUCCUCGACUACAACUCCAUACUCGCCGCCGUCAAUGGUUGCUCCGGGGUCUUCCACCUCGCUUCUCCCUGCAUCAUCGAUACAGUCCACGACCCCGAGGUUCCCGCCAUAAAACAGUAUCAAAUUCCUUCUAAUUUUGAUUAUAUCUGAUUAAUUAUGCGAAAUUAUGCGUAAAUUUGAAAACGUGGUGCUUUUUUUUGUUUAUUCUGCAGAAGGAGCUCCUGGACCCGGCGAUCAAAGGAACGCUUAAUGUUCUGACGGCAGCGAAGAAGGCUGGGAUCAGCCGUGUGGUGCUGACGUCAUCCUCAUGCGCCAUCACUCCCAGCCCAAGCUGGCCGUCCGAUAAGGUCAAGGGCGAGGAUUGCUGGACAGACAUUGACUACUGCAAGCAGAAGGGAGUGAGUUACUCCAACGCCCUGUUUAAUGUCCGCAUUCAAUUUUCUUAUUGAAAGUAUGUUACUUUCGGUGCACGUUUCCCCUGCUUUUACUGUAUCUUUCAUCUUUUGAUUAUUAAUUCUUCAUUUUUAACUACUUGAAGUUUUCACAAUUGGGGACUGUAAUGCUGAUUGUGUUUGGUGUUUGGCUAGUUGUGGUAUCCAUUAUCGAAAACGCUGGCGGAGAAAGCUGCGUGGGAAUUUGCCAAGGAGAAGGGGCUGGAUGUCGUUGUGGUGAAUCCGGGCGCGGUGAUGGGCCCUGUUAUCUCGCCCAGGCUCAAUUCUAGCAUGUUAUUGCUCCUUCGCAUUCUUGAGGGUACUUUUCUCUGCAAAUUUGUAUUAGAAAAUCCUCUACGACUGCACCUAGAAGUAGAUUAUUGACUUUAUUUAUCCUCUAGCACUGCACUCUUAAAUUGUUUGAAUAAUCCACUAGCGGUUAUUGUUCUCUUGCCUGAUAGUAUGCCAUGUAAUGUUGCGAAAUUUGCACUUGAAUCAUAAAUUUAGACGAAAGUUGAUCUUUGAUUGACAGUUUGUACGAUGACAUAUCAUCUCAAUGGCAAGAGAACAUUUCCCAUUUAUUAUGUAUGAUGCUGUGGUUGGUUGAUGAACUAAAAAUGAGGUAAAAAUGAGGUAUUUUCUUUCUCUUAAGACAUUUUUGUUGUGCGGAAGCGGCAUUCGACUGUAAGUGAAUAGUAAAACAGAACAGAAACAAAAACCAACAUCAACAAGAACACCAAGAUUUAUACUGGUUCGGCAAUGCCUACAUCCAGUUUGGAGACGACGGAGUAUUCCACUAUAAUCAAUGAGAACAUACAAUAGUGUUUAUCACUCAAUUUCCCAAAGACCCAAAUAACCCAAGCUCUCACACUUACAAUAGGAAGAGAAAACCAAAAAAUACAAAGCAAGACAAUUUGAGAAAAUUUUUCUCUAUGCCGAAUGGCUUCUUGCUAUUUUUCUCUCUUCCUUGUUCUCCUCUUGUCUCUACUCCAUACUUAUGAGCUGCACCUUGCUCUCCUUUUAUAGCCAAAGAAAAGCUUCUCAAAGACAUCAAUGGCCAAAGGCCUACCAUCAAGUCAAAAGAGUUAGGCACAAAUUAGGCACAAAUUAGGCACAAAUGUUGUUUGCCUCCCAUUACCACAAAGUAGCCCAAAGAUUUGGACUUUGACUACAUGUUUGAGUCAAUAAUCAACAAUUUUUGCUAAGGAAAGAUUGAGUUUGGUACCUCAGCACUUGGAAGAUUUCUUCUUUCAUAACAGUCGAGAUUGCUAAUUGUUUUGCCGGUUAGUCCGUAAGCUUGAGAAGUUAGAUUGUGUGAGCAUGCGUAUGUGUAAUCAUAAAGGAACUCCUCUUCACCUCUUUUUUUAGCACAUGUUUCUUUAAGUUCUAAGGAUUUUCGAUAAAGUUUGUUUUGGAGAGGAAUGAGAAAAAGGAUGAGGCCCUAGAAAGUGGAAACAACAUAUAUAUAGUUUUGAGUUGCUCGAUCUUUGCUGCAGGUUGCACUGAAACAUAUGAGGACUUUUUUAUGGGAUCUGUGCAUUUUAAAGAUGUAGCUCUCGCACACAUUUUAGUGUAUGAGAACAAAUCAGCGACCGGUAGGCACUUGUGUGUGGAAGCUAUAUCACGUUAUGGUGACUUUGUGGCAAAGGUUGCUGAACUUUACCCUGAGUACAAGGUUCACAGGUAAGUUUUGGUCCACAAAAUGCAUUUGCAAAUGAAAUUGGGUGCAUAUCUUAUGUUUUAGAUGUUUGGUUUCCUGAUAAGUGAAUGUUUCGUCCCUUGUCAGAAGCACAACUUAAAAAUAUACUAUGUCUUGAUUUUUUAAACCGAGGUUUCUUAGAUGCACUGAACUCUUCUACAGCUAGAGGACCAUGGUUUUUUCUUUCUUUUUUUCCGUCCAUCAUGUGUUAUAGAUAUUUGAGACCAAAUUAGCGAAUUGAAAUCUGAUUUUGCCUAUAAAAGAGUUUUCAUGCGGGUAUAGAUUUGCAUACAUCAUCUUUCUUUGGUCUGUUUAGAAUCACUUCCAAAUGUUGCUUUCCAAGUUUAUCAACCGUUUGGUGCGUUCUCGCUUGCCUUGGAAGAAUUUUGUAAAUUUUUAGGUGGUGUGAGUGCCUGAUUUUGAAAAUGUUCGAGCUAGUAUGUUUACGUUUGUGUAGUUUGCCAAAGGAUACCCAACCCGGCUUGCUGAGGGAAAAGAGCGGAGCGAAGAAGCUAAUGAACUUGGGUUUAGAAUUCAUUCCCAUGGAUCAAAUUAUCAAGGAUGGUGUUGAGAGCCUAAAGAGCAAGGGAUUUAUUUCAUAAAUAAAACUGCAGGGAUAUGAAACUUAUCAUGGAUCUAGGUAUGUAUUGUACUAGUAGCGAGGACAUGUAGCCUGAAUGGUUGUUUCAACUCCUUUGAAUUUUCCUUUUUCUGUGAAGUAAAUAAUAUUAAUAUGAGUGUACGAUAAGUUUACCUUAAAUUUCAGACUUUAAUCGGGGAAUAUCAGUGCAUUGUUGGACUGGAACGCUAUGUGGUGGCUAACCAGUUCCACAUAAGUCCUCCCAGUCUACGUCAAAUUCUUUGUGUAAUAAGAGAAUUUCUCUUAAUUUUCACCGUACCGAAAGUUAAAAGGACUAAUAGCAAGUAAUUACGAACAUGGCUAGUACUGUGGAAGCUAAAGCAGCAGCAACAGCUCCUCCAUCUUCGGUGUUUGAUAUAAUGCGCCACCUUGGCGGGGGACAUUAGCAAAGUGGAUUCCAAUGUUCUCGAGAAAAUCCUACCAGAUUAAAUGUACGGACGAGCAGUUGAGGUGCGCACGGAAGAGUACCAUAGGCAGAGAUUUGAGUCCAGUUACUGAUAUGUUGUGGCGGAAUUUGUACGUGGAGUUCGGUGCUUCAAGGGCUGUUCAGGUGGUCGAAAACACCAAGAAGUUAUACCAUGCCUACAGUCUUGUGGAUAACGAGUUCAAAACUAAUUUAUUCCUUCAAUACUUAGUGCAAAUAUAUUGUUCUAUAAAAAAUAAAAAUAAAAAAUUAUACCAUUUAACACAACAUUAACCUGAUUUACAACGUCGGUACUCUCCCUAGCCUUGACCGGGCAAAGAGGGCAGUCGUUAAUUAAGUCUCACUGAAAGAAUGUGUAAACCGUACAAGUUACUGGCCUUGAAUAUGGUGAAACUUUAAACUUUGUUGGCGUUUAUAUCUCGUCAUGGUCCUGCUAUCUGCUCAACUGGUUUUCAUGCACGUAAGAUUAUAUUCUUACGUAACUAUAAACUUUUUUGGCGUUAAUUAACUUCUUGUGUUGUUGUAGCUGGUCUGCAAGUAGCCUGUGUUGGUUGUGCCGGAUUAGUUGCAUUUCCGGUGCUGAUAGAGAAGCUUUUGGAUAGACAUGGUUGAAUUUUAGCGCUUUGGCUAUGUUCUCCCAGUUUUGUAUGCUUAAAUUAGACAAUUUAGUACAUACAAAUCCAAUGAUCUUGUAUUAUCUUUUUUGUUCACUACAGUUCAGAUUUUUGUAAUUUGAAUGCGGACAACUGCAGAGCUUUUAACUCCACUCGAGAAAGACAUUCAGGUUCUGAGAAGAAGGUUUACGUUCUAAAACCAAAGAAAUAAGAGAUCAUGACCGUCGGCGAAACCAAAACCCCACCCUUUUCAACCGAUUCAAACAUUUCAAUCUCCCCGACUCUCUAGUCAACCGAGUAUUUUAUGGCCUGCCGUUGGUUCGGGUGCCGAUACAAGCCUUGUUGAAUUGUGGCCAAGUGGCCAUCACCUUUCCUAAUAAACAAACCAAAAGAAAAAAAAAAGGAGAAAGGACAACAAGAUUAUGUUUCCUUGUUUUGGGGAAAAGAAAAGUGAAAUUUGUCUAAAGUUUUUUCUUUGGUCCAUGUGAGAAGUCACGGGACUCUUGGGGUUUUUUAACUAGCAGCAAUAGUUGCCUUUUGGUGUGGGAAAAAGGUUGUCGCAUAGAAGAAAAAAUUAGAAGGGAGCAGCAGAAAGAAGAAGAGAGGUACGCAGCUCUCAUAUAAGAAAGAAAGGUGAUUUUCUUUCUUGGUUAGUUCUCACUCCAUCAAAGUUUUAUUGUUGUAAUAGCUUUGAGCUUUGUAUAGAGAAGAAAUUAAUCACUAUAUUUCUUUCUCUAUUUGUUUCUUUAGUGUGUGAGAGUUAUUGGGUGUAUUAGGUUAUUUGGGUUGUGAGAUUACCAACACUUUGUAAACUCCCAUUUGGUUGAUAGUGGAUUAUUGGGUGAGCUCCUACUGCUCCGAAGACGUACUCCAGUUACAUUGACUGUUGAGGAACCUCGUUAAAAUCUUGGUGUCUUUAAUAUUUUGUUCUUGCAUUUCAUUUGAUAUAUUUCCUGUGGGUUCAAAAGAGUUGGUUCUAAAAGGUUUGGUGCUAUCCUAGCACAACAAUUGGUAUCAGAGCACUGGUUGCUCUUGGGUACUGUCUAGUUGCCAAAGAUGUCAGACGGGCAAGAUGAAAAUCCUUUUGGAAGCAGCUCCGGGUUUGCAAGAACUACGGUGCAAAAUGCAAAGUUCGAAGUGAAAAAGUUUGAUGGCACAAACAACUUCGGGAUGUGGCAAUGUGAGGUCAAAGAUGUGUUGGCUCAACAAGAUCUACUUGCCGCUUUGGGAGAGAAGCCGGAAGCUAUGUCGAAGCCGGAAUGGGAGAAAUUAAAUUUGUGGGCUUGCUCUUCAAUUUGGUUGUGUCUUGCAAAAACUCAGAAGUAUUUUGUGAUGCGGGAGACAUUAGCAAGUGUGUUGUGGCAAAAAUUGGAAGACAAGUAUAUGACGAAAAGUGCAGAGAACCGGCUACACUUGAAGAAAAAGCUCUACCGCUUCCAAUACAAAGAAGGUACGAAAAUGAUUAGACACCUUGAUGCUUUUAAUAAGUUGAUUGCCGACUUAUUAAAUUUAGAUGAGGAUAUUAAGGAUGAAGACAAGGCCUUAAUAUUGUUGAAUUCCUUGCCGGACUCUUAUGAGCAUUUUGUUACCACUAUUAUGCAUGGUAAAGAAACUGUGAAAUUUGAAGAUGUGUCAAAUGCCUUGAUGAAUUAUGAGGCAUAGAGAUAAAACCCAUGAUAGUAACUCUGAAGCUUUAUUUGUUAGAGGUAGAUCAUCGGAGAGAAGAUCAUCUUCUAGUAGGAAAAAAUCACAGUCUCGACCUAGAGGAAACUCUAAAGGUAGAAAACCUUUGGAAAAGGAUGAAUGUGCCUUUUGUCGUAAUAAGGGCCAUUGGAAGAAAGAUUGUCCUAAAUUGAAGACCAAAGGCAAAGAAAGUUCUGAAGCUAAUGUUGCUGAGGUUGAAAUAGAUUUUCUGAUUUUGCUUUAACCACUUCCUCAUCAUUUGAUUGUGCUACUAAGUGGGUGUUGGAUACGGGUUGUACUCAUUAUAUGACUCCUCACAAGGAUUGGUUUUCAAGCUUGAAAGAGUUUGAUGGUGGUGGUGUGUUCAUGGGAGAUGACAAUCCUUGCACAACAAAAGGAAUUGGUACAGUUCGUUUGAAGUUGCAUGAUGGCAUGGUUAAAGAGUUGACAGGUGUUCGGUAUGUACCGAAUUUGAAGAAAAUCUUAUUUCUUUGGGUACUUUGGAAUCCAAGGGCUUCAGGUUUCAUUCAGAUGGACAGACAUUGAAAGUUACUUAUGGUGCACUUGUUAUGAUGAAAGCUCCUCGAUGUGGCCAUUUGUAUUUAUUGCAGGGAAGCACUGUGACAGGUGAAGCAUCUGUAGUCUCUGAAAAUAUGGGCACAUCUGAUUCAGAUACUACUAGACUGUGGCAUAUGAGAUUAGGCCAUGCCGGUGAGAAAGCUCUACAAGGGCUUGUGAAACAAGGUCUUAUAAAAGGUGCCAUGACUUGUAAACUUGAUUUCUGCGAGCAUUGUGUCUUGGGGAAGCAAACUAGAGUGAAGUUUGGUACUGCUGUACAUCAGACGAAGGGCAUUCUUGAUUAUGUGUAUUCGGAUGUUUGGGGUCCUACAAAGACUCCCUCUUUGAGUGGUAGACAUUGGUUCGUGACCUUUGUUGAUGAUUAUUCAAGAAGGUCUUGGGUCUACACUAUGAAGCACAAGAGUAAGGUGUUGAGCAUUUUCUUGGGUUGGAAGAAAAUAGUUGAGAACCAGACUGGGAGAAAGAUUAAGAUUUUGAGAUCGGAUAAUGGUGGUGAAUACACAUCCGAUCCUUUCUUUAAAGUUUGCAAAGAGGAAGGAAUUGUGAGACAUUUCAGUGUUCGGGGAACUCCACAACAAAAUGGAGUUGCAGAAAUAUUGAAUCGAACCUUGCUUGAGAAGGUUAGAUGUAUGUUGUCUCAGUCGGGUUUAAGCAAGUCAUUUUGGGCAGAGGCAGUUAAUUAUGCAUGUCACAUCAUCAACCGGUUACCCUCAGCUGCUGUUCAGGGUAAGACACCAAUGGAGGUAUGGACUGGAAAAAGUUCUUCUGAUUAUGACUAUAUCCGUAUUUUUGGUUCACCUGCUUAUUUUCAUGUGACUGAAAAUAAACUUGAUCCUAGAGCCAAAAAGGCUAUCUUUCUUGGUUUUAGUAGUGGUGUUAAAGGUUACAGGUUGUGGUGCCCAGAGAUGAAAAAACUUGUAAUUAGCAGAGAUGUGACAUUUGAUGAAGAAAGUAUGUUCAAAGACUCUGAGAAGAAUGUGAAAGAUGUCCAACAGGUGGAGCUUGAGAAAGUUGCAUCUGGUACUUCAAAUCCUAUUUCCGUUGAUGUCGAAGCCACUACAAGUGAAGAAGUUGGAGACCAUGAGGAUGUUGAAGAAGUUGAACUUGAAGAUUCUAUUCAAGUUGAAGAGCAAGUUUCACCUCAAGAGUCUAUUGCCAAGAACAGAGGAAAGAGACAAAUUACCAAGCCAGCUCGGUAUAGUGACUAUGUUUAUUUUGCUCUUCCUAUUAUCACUGAUGAGAUUCCAUCCAAUAUCGAGGAAGCCAUUGAGAGUGAGGAGAAUGAGAGGUGGUGCAAUGCCAUGGGUGAUGAGAUGAAUUCUCUCUUGAAGAACAAGACUUGGGAGUUAGCUAAAUUACCUAAGGGCAAGAAAGCUAUUGGUUGCAAAUGGGUGUAUGCCAAGAAGGAAGAUGCUGAUGAGAAAAACAAUGUGAGAUUCAAAGCAAGAUUAGUUGCUAAAGGGUAUGCACAAAAGGAGGGCAUUGAUUACAAUGAAAUUUUUUCUCCGGUUGUGAAACACUCCUCAAUUCGUAUUAUGUUAGCUCUUGUUGCACAUUAUGAUCUUGAGCUUGUGCAACUUGAUGUGAAGACGACUUUCCUACAUGGUGAUUUGAAUGAAGAGAUCUAUAUGUGUCAACCGGAUGGGUAUAUAGUGAAAGGGAAGGAAAAUUUGUUUUGCAAAUUGAAGAAAUCGCUUUGUGGCUUGAAGCAAUCUCCAAGGCAAUGGUAUUUGAGGUUUGAUAAAUUUAUGAGAGGCCAAAAUUAUUCUAGAAGUCAAUAUGAUCAUUGUGUGUACUUCAAGAAGUUGAAAGAUGGGUCUUUCAUUUAUUGUUGAUAUAUGUUGAUGAUAUGUUGAUUGCCUCAAAGAAUGUUGAAGAGAUUGAAAAAUUGAUGAAGCAAAUGAAGAAUGAGUUUGAGAUGAAGGAUCUUGGUGAAGCGAAGAAGAUCCUUGGCAUGGAGAUCACUAGAGAUAGAGAGAAGGGUUUGGUCAGUUUGAAUCAAAGACAAUACCUUGAGAAGUUGAUUCAGAAGUUUGGAGUUCAUGAUUCAACCAAACCGGUUAGUAUUCCUUUGGCUCCUCAUUUUAAAUUGAGUUCUCUACAAUGUCCUAAAAAUGAUAAAGAGAAGCUGCAAAUGAAAAGUAUACCAUAUGCAAAUUUGGUUGGUAGUUUGAUGUAUGCAAUGGUAUGCUCUAGACCGGAUAUUACUCAUGCAAUUGGCAUGGUGAGUCGAUAUAUGCAUAAUCCAGGUAAAAAGCAUUGGCAAACAGCUAAGUGGAUAUUGAGAUAUCUCCAUGGUACUCGAGAUGUUGGUUUAUGCUUUGAGAGGGAUGACUCUGGUAUUGGUCAUUUUGCAGUUGGUUAUGUUGAUUCAGAUUAUGCAGGUGAUCUGGAUGGAAGGAAGUCUACUACAGGCUAUGUGUUUACUAUGGCUAAAUGGCCAGUUUGUUGGAGGUCCAUUUUGCAGUCGUCUGUUGCCUUGUCUACUACAAAGGCUGAAUAUAUGGCAGUUGCUGAAGCUAUAAAGGAGGCCAUUUGGAUACAUGGGCUGAUUAGAGAUUUGGGGGUUGAUCAGAAGCAGGUGGAGGUACAUUGUGAUAGUCAAAGUGCCAUUUAUUUGGCUAAAUAUCAGGUUCAUCAUGCGAGGACCAAGCACAUAAAUGUGCGUUAUCACUUUGUUCGUGAAAUUGUUAGUGAAGGGGAAAUCAUUCUCCAGAAGAUUCCAACUAAAGACAACCAUGCUGAUAUGUUGACUAAGGUUGUUGGUGUAGCCAAGUUUGUUCACUGUUUGAACUUGGCUCACAUUAUGCCUAUAUAAAGAAGGCGUUGAGCAGUAGGAGUUUUGGAGCAUUUGGCUCGGCAUGAAUUGUUCUCUUGCUAGUGUUUGGGAGUGAUUUUUUGGGUCAAUUGUGUUGGUUGGCUUAUCAUGGCGUUUUCGGAACUUGGCCAAGGUGGAAAUUGUUGAAUUGUGGCCAAGUGGCCAUCACCUUUCCUAAUAAACAAACCAAAAGAAAAAAAAGGGAAAGGACAACAUGAUUAUGUUUCCUUGUUUUGGGGAAAAGAAAAGUGAAAUUUGUCUAAAGUUUUUUCUUUGGUCCAUGUGAGAAGUCACGGGACUCUUGGGGUUUUUUAACUAGCAGCAAUAGCUGCCUUUUGGUGUGGGAAAAAGGUUGUCGCAUAGAAGAAAAAAUUAGAAGGGAGCAGCAGAAAGAAGAAGAGAGGUACGCAGCUCUCAUAUAAGAAAUAAAGGUGAUUUUCUUUCUUGGUUAGUUCUCACUCCAUCAAAGUUUUAUUGUUGUAAUAGCUUUGAGCUUUGUAUAGAGAAGAAAUUAAUCACUAUAUUUCUUUCUCUAUUUGUUUCUUUAGUGUGUGAGAGUUAUUGGGUGUAUUGGGUUAUUUGGGUUGUGAGAUUACCAACACUUUGUAAACUCCCAUUUGGUUGAUAGUGGAUUAUUGGGUGAGCUCCUACUGCUCCGAGGACGUACUCCAGUUACACUGACUGUUGAGGAACCUCGUUAAAAUCUUGGUGUCUUUAAUAUUUUGUUCUUGCAUUUCAUUUGAUAUAUUUCCUGUGGGUUCAAAAGAGUUGGUUCUAAAAGGUUUGGUGCUAUCCUAGCACAACAAGCCUUACCUCAAUGGCCUCGAAUCCGGAGAACGAAUCUACAGCCUCGAGAGAGGUCGAGAAGCCUCCGAUUGAGCCAGUUCGGCUGCCGACGGUGGAGGAGAUGCACGGUCAAGACAUUUGGAACAACUGCGCUGUCCGUAGCGUCGUUAGUGGAGUUAUGGGUAUGGUUAAAGUUCUUUCAUUUGCUUAAUUUUUGGAUUCUCUCACAUGGGUUUUUGUUUGUUUUCCUCUCUUUGUUUGGUUGCCGAGAAAAUGUGGGAAAAAGUAAGUCUUUUUUUUUAGUGUUGGUUUUUUUUCCCUUUAUUUCUGUUUGGUUGCCGAGAAAACUUUGGGAAGUUACUGUCUUUUUGUUUGUAUGUGGUCUCAGAAUUGUAUUGUUGUGGGGUUCAGAAAGUGCAGAAGAUUGGUGUAUUAGUAAGGUUGUGAUAGAUAUAGUCUAAAUUUCGUUACUUUUAAGUGAGUAUUGGGGUUUGCUCUAUAUAGCAAACUCUACCAGAAGGUUACAUUGUUGUUUACAUUGAUUUUGGCCCGGAAAAGCACUUGGAAGUGCUUUCCCAGAAGAGCUUUUAAGUCUAUCAACUAGAGUUUUUCCAUGUACUUUUGUAUAGAACUUAACACUAAACAGAUGUUGAUUGUUAAUUCUAUAAGCUUUGGAAAUUUCAUAGGUUGUGGGCUUGGGUUGAUGAUGGGUUUGCUUCUCGGAGCGUUAGACACCCGUAUAAUGCAAGACGAAAUGACUGGUAAACGACAAUUCAUUUAGCAAGCAAAGUCGAUGGGCCGGAGGAGUUGGAGUUCUGAAAAAGCAUUUGCAGUUAUGGGAUUGGUUUUCUCAGCUGCCGAGUGUGUUGUUGAAAAGGUAUUCUGGAUAUGUCAAAAUUCAUGAUCGUAAAUUUUAUUUGAUCGAUGAGGUUUAAUUUCUUUGCUAUAGGGACUAAUUCUGGAUUAUUGUUUUCAGGCACGGGCUAAACAUGACACAACAAAUACAGUUGUUGUUGGAUGUAUAACUGGAGGUGCACUGUCAGCCAAAGGUAACCAACUUUCUCCAUCAGUUAUCAUCGUUUCUUUAUUGAUAUACAAGGCUUUGAGGGCGACCCUUGCCCUAAAAGACACGUGAUAUAACAUGGGUGAAAGAAGAGUAAACCGGACAAGUACCGGCCUUGUAGGUGUUAUUCUCAUCAUGGUCCAUGUUAAGAUUAGACCCUUACGCCUCUUUAUGUUGUCCUGUUGUAGCUGGUCCGCAAGCAGCCUGUGUUGGUUGUGCUGGCUUUGCUGCAUUUUCGGUGCCGAUAGAGAAGUUUUUGGAUAGACUUGAUUGAGUUUGAGCGCGUUGCCUGUGCUGCCCCAGUUUUGCGGACACUCAAAAUAUGACAAUUCAGCAGAAGUGCCCUGCGCUGAUACAAAUGUUUUGUGCUUAGGUUGAACUUCAGCCCUUGUUAUGGUUAUUUAUCCAAAAUUGUUUAUGAAGGGAUGUUCUAGCGAACAUACAAAUCCAAUGAUUUUGUGUAAUGCAUUCACUCGACUACAGUAGAGAUUUUUUGAGAAUCUACACCGUAUUUUUAGCGGUACUAUCAUUGAUUUAGAUUUGUAAUUCAACAAAUGAACACCCAAACGAAAGGAUUAAUUCCCGGUAGGAAGUCUCAACUCGAGAAAGAUAUUCAGAUUUUGAGAAGGUGAUUUGCGCUCUAAAGAAAUGAGCUUGCUUGCUGGAUAGGCAUCAAGGCAAAAUCUUGGUAAAUCAAGGCAAAAUCUUGGUAAAUCAAAGAAUCUUGCUUUAUAAAAUCAAAGAAACUUAACAAGUCACCAUAGACGGUUUGGAUGGAAUUUAUCGUGAUAAUUAAAUAAGCAAAUGGUCUUGGAUUAAAUUGAAUUUUUGCAACAAACAAUGAAAUUGACCAACACUUGUUCUAUAAGAAACAACGAAAUUUCAUCGAUAUAAUUGAAUAGACAAAUGGUUUUGAACAUUAGUAGCUUGAGAUCUAAUAUAAUUUUUUUUUUCAAAAAAAUAAUUACCUAAGAGAACAGGGGCACGAAUGCCAAAUUCCGCUUCACCGUGACAUAUAUGCUUGCUUCUGUCAUUGAGGAUUGAUUCGUAAUCCAUCAUGUUCGUUUAUAUGAGAUUCUGAGAAGAAGGUUUACGUUCUAAAAAAAAAUUAGUCUGCUUGCCGACCAGUGGCGGAGGCAGUUAAGGACUACAAUAGUCCUAAGCCUACUCUCACUUAAAAAAUAAGAUUAGUCUACUACACCUAUUUCUAUUGCUUUGCAGCCCUUCUCAACAACUAAAACAAAUUCAAUCAUUAUCUAUUUUUCAUCUCAUAGAUACCAUCCCAAAAAUAAGUAUAUAUUUUAAAUAGUCAUUUAUCACAAGGAGUAGUGCUAUAUGCAUACAUUUUUUUUACCUUUAACACAUUCUUGUUAAUUUAUGUUAUUCGAUAUUCAAUUUAUUCAAUCAGAUGAUCGCAAAUUGAAAGGGUGUAUGGAAAGCAAAAAGAGGUGUGUGGAUAGCACAAUUCUCUCACAAAUCAAUAACAUUAAAUUAAAGCCCAUCAUUCACUUUUAAUUAAAAUAAAAUCGUCUUUCACUUAUGCAUGGGGAGAGUUUUUACCUUUUCUUAUUGAAUUUCAUAUAUUUAGCCAUUCUAAAUCCCAAAUUUAUUGAAUAAAGAACAAAAAGGUUUGUAAUACUCUAUUAUUCAUUAUAAAACAUUUGUUUCUAUUCUAUCCCACCUCUUACUUGAGUUUAGGGUUUGCAAAGAUUUUCGUACUUCUCUCUAUUCAGUUUAAUAAUUAUUUAAAUACUAUAGAUGACAUUAUGCAACUUUUUCAUUGCAAUUCGUCAAGAAUAAUUUUGAUUACUAUGGAUAGAUAAAAUUAUCUAUGCAUAUGUUAAUUUUGACUACUUAAUUAUUUGGAUAACUAUUAUGAUGUUUUGCAUUAGUAAUUUUAUAACCACUAUUCGUUUUUUCUUCUUCUAUACUUGUUUGAGGCCCCUCCUCACAAGAAAUCUUGGCUCCGGCACUGUUGCCGACACAGCCACUAUAGAUUCACCCCUCGAAAUUUGUUAUUCCUUUCAUCCAAGGAGAGCAAACAGCAGCAUCAAGGCAAAUCUUUUUGGUAAUAAGAGCAAAGAAUCUUGCUUUGUAGAAAGCAAGCAAGAAAACAAAGGUGUCCACCGUCUAUAUAAACUAGCAAAGUAGACAAGCAAUCGCACAACCAUCCUGCAUCAUUAAGUUUAUCUUCAUAUAUACUUUCCUACACGGCUGACUUUUUCUUCCUCUCUACUCUCAACCGAUUUCUAAGUUUCUAACCCUGAAAAUGGCCGAUGCGCUCAUUUCCAUUCUACUAGAAAACUUGGCUUCAACAACUUAUCAAUAUGUAGCAGACGAGGUGAUACUCGUUCUGAACAUUAAGAAAGAAGUUGAAGAAUUCGCUGACAACCUCAAAGCUAUUGAAUCUGUGCUUGAGGAUGCAGAGCGAAGGCAAAUGAAGGAGGUCAACGUGCAAAACUGGCUGGAUAACCUGAAGGAAAUAUCGUACGAGAUGGUGGAUGUGGUGGAUGAGUGGAACACGGACAUCCUGAGACAAGAAUUUAAGAAACAAGAAAGACAAGGUGCAACUCAUAUUACUCCUCAGAGGAAGGUAAGUUUCGCUAUCUUCGCUCGUUGUUUUUGUCUUGGCCAAGUCGGCAAGAUAAUUAUUCGUCGUAAAUGCUCUCAAGAUAAAAGAUCUAAAUGAGCAGUUAGCUGGGAUUUAUAAGCAAAGAAAAAUGUAUAAUUUUCAAAUCACUGAAAGAACAGCAAACUUCGUCUUUUGUCGAUAUGUUUGAGAUAUUUGGUCGAGAAAAGGAAAAAGAUAGUUUGAUAAGGAAGUUGGUGAGUGAUGCUAGUGAAGAAGGGAUGAGGCUCCUCAUCAUCCCUAUUGUAGGGAUGGAAGGCAUGGGAAAGACAACUUUGGCUCAGUUAGCCUGUAAUGAUGCCACUGUUGAAGCUCAUUUUUAAAAGAGAAAAUGGGUUUGUGUGUCAGAACCUUUCGAUGAGAUAAAGAUUGCCAAAGAGAUUAGUGGUGAUGCCUCCUCAAGUUCAAUUGGGUUGGAUCAUGUCUUAGAAUCUAUCUUAGGAUCCAUUAAGGGGGUAAAAUUUCUUCUUGUGUUGGAUGAUGUGUGGAACGACGACUUCAAAAAGUGGGAUCAAUUAAGGAUUCCAUUGAUGCAAAAUGGGGCUGAGGGCAGUAGAUUACUAGUAACCACUCGAAAACAAAAUGUUACUAGUAUGAUGACAGCAACCUCUCACAUGAUCAAUCUUGCAGAGUUGAGUGAAGAAAAUUGUUUGUCAAUCUUCAAUCACAUGGCAUUUUCUAACACAGAAGUAGACGAGUCUGAGGUGUUUGGAGAUAUCAGUAGGGAAAUUGUAAAAAAGUGCAAGGGUUUGCCACUUGUUGCAAAGACUUUAGGUAGUAUGAUGUGCAAUAAGACAACCAGGAUUGAAUGGUUGGACGUUCUGAAUAGUAAAAUAUAGGAUUGGGAAGAAGUGGAGCAAGAAGUUUUCCCGCCAUUCUAAGUUACUAUGAUUUGGCCUCAAGAAAUAGAUGUUGCCUUCUAUAUUGUGCUAUUUUCCCAAAAGAUUACGAGUUUAGUAGGGAUGAGUUGAUUAAUCUUUGGAUGACACAAGAUUAUCUUAAUUCCAGGGAGAAUAAAGAUAAAGGAAAAAUCGGUCAAGUUGUUUUUGAUAAUUUAGUUGUGCGGUCUUUUUUUCAAGAUUUUGAAAAACACCUUGACACUGGUACAAUAAUAGGUUGUAAAAUGCAUGACAUUAUACAUGACUUUGUGCAAUUUAUCACCAAGAAGGAAAGUUUGAUUAUGGAGGGCUGAGGGUGCAAACUGUAAAAUAGAGGUACUGGGCAGUAAUCUUCGCCAUUUGAACUUAAAGUCUAAAGCUUAUCGUCGAGGUGUACUUUCUAUCACUUCUGACAAUUGCAAAAGUCUAUGUUGGAAUGCAUGCAAGUCAUAUCUUUUGUUAAAAUGCAUGCAUGAAAUAAACAUGUUGGAUGACUAGUGAAGUUAGGCUAGUCAACCUUCUUUGUGUAAAUUAGGCAAGUUAGGCAAGUUAGGAAAUUAGGCAAGUUAGGCAAGUUAGGCAAGUUAGGCUUAUGUUCUCUUUCUUUUCCUAUAUAAUGUUUCAUCUUGUAAUUGUUUUGAUAUGAAAUACACAUAAAAAAUUCAACAUGGUAUCAAAGCAGGAACUCGAAAUUCCUGGCUCUGUUGAUCGUUUCCGCUAAGUUUCUUUUACUCUAAGCCAAGAUGGCUGUAGAACAUUAUGAAGCUGAGUGCUCGAUGGAUGCUCUGUUGAUCAUUUCUGCUAAGUUUCUUUUACUCUAAGCCAAGAUGGCUGAAGAACAUUUACUCUAAGCCAAGAUGGCUGGAGAACAUUUACUCUAAGCCAAGAUGGCUGGAGAACUUUUACUCUAAGCCAAGAUGGCUGGAGAACAUUUACUCUAAGCCAAGAUGGUUGGAGAACAUUAUGAAGCUGAGAGCUCGAUGGAUGCUUUAGCUUUACCUAACGUUGUUCAAGUUUGCGGCACGAAGCCAUUUCAAGUUUGUUUGUUUGCGGCACGAAGCCAUUACUGUUUGUUUGCGGCACGAAGCCAUUUCAAGUGGGAAUUUGGUAACAUGGCGCAGCAAGAAGCAAAGCGUUAUUUUUACUAAACCUCUUCCUACGGUUCAGUUCAUGCGCAUUCUGUCCAAGCUUGGCUCAAGGAAUCCCCUCGAUCCAGCUUGAGGGGGAGUGUUGGAAUGCAUGCAAGUCAUAUCUUUUGUUAAAAUGCAUGCAUGAAAUAAACAUGUUGGAUGACUAGUGAAGUUAGGCUAGUCAACCUUCUUUGUGUAAAUUAGGCAAGUUAGGCAAGUUAGGAAAUUAGGCAAGUUAGGCAAGUUAGGCAAGUUAGGCAAGUUAGGCUUAUGUUCUCUUUCUUUUCCUAUAUAAUGUUUCAUCUUGUAAUUGUUUUGAUAUGAAAUACACAUAAAAAAUUCAACAGUCUACGUACGCUGAUAGCAAUUAAUUCAAGUGUUGAUAGGGUAGGCGCUAGUUUUAUUUUAGAAUUUAAGUGUCUUAGGACGAUAAAUUUGUUUGGAAAUUUCAUGGAUGUACUCCCACAGGAGAUUGGUGAAUUGGUGCAUUUGAGACAUAUGGAUUUGUCUUGGAGUGAAAAGUUGGGGAAAUUACCAGACGCCAUUUGCGGUUUAUACAAUUUGUAUACCUUGGACCUUCGGGGAUGCUAUGCACUUGAAAAAUUGCCUGAUAACAUGGGAAAAUUGAUUAGCUUAAAGCAUCUUUACGUUGGCCAUUGUGACUCGUUGAAGUACUUGCCAAAAGGGAUAGGGAGAUUAACAAGUUUGCAAACACUAGACGUCUGUCCUAUGUUUCCAGUUGAUAGCGUCAGAGCAUUUCAAGCUGGGGAUUUGGGAAGUUUGAACCAGCUCCAGGGCAGUCUCAGAAUAAGCAUUUUGGGGUAGGUGAAAAACCGGAGUGAAGCACAAUUGCGGGACAAGAAGCAACUUUUUCAUCUCCAACUUGAUUUUGGUGAAGUGCGUGAGGAUCUGGAAUCUUUAGAGACCAAUGUGCAAAUAAUGAAUGUCUUACGACCACAUGAUGAUCUGGAAUCUUUAGGGAUUUAUGAGUAUUCUGGCUCGACUUGGCCGAAUUGGUUGGUGUCUUUAAACAAGUUGCGAUUCCUUACUCUGCAGUAUAAUUGGGGUUGUGAAACUUGGAAGAUUGCCGUUCCUUGAAAAGCUAUACGUAAGGGGGAUGGGUGUAAGAAAGGUUGGUGGUGAGUUUUUGGGAGUAGAAUAUGAUGAUCAAACAUCUUCUUUGUUCAAAUCAUCCUCAUCAAUAUUAUUCCCCAAAUUGAAGCAACUCAAAUUUAAUGACAUGUGGUAUUGGAAGGAUUGGGAAGGCAUGAAAGGGGGGAACAAAGUUGUUUAUACCAUAUUUAGGGCCUCGUAUUUAGACCUCGUAUAAAUACUCGAGGGACUUAAAUGUAAUUAUGUAAUAAAGGAAGGGGCAAAUAUGUAAUUAGGGGAGGAUCCCUUAUUCUAUAAAAGGGCAUCUUCACCCUCACAAACUUUAAGCCUCUCCUAUCUAGAGCAAAGCUUUCACACUCUCUCCUUCGCAAAUACUCUCAGAGAAAUACAAUCAGUGUGGACGUAGCCCAAACCUUGGGGUGAACCACGAUACAUCUUGUGUUAUUUACAUUUCAUGUAGAUUCACGGUCGGAUUUACGUUGUUCCAAGACCUCCGGUUUUAUGCAUCAACAUUUGGCGCCGUCUGUGGGAAACGACAUGAAAAGUUAUGUCGUUUCUCUCUCAAUUUUUCAUCUCACCACCGUGAAACCUUCACAACCUCACCACUAUCCACCGUAGAUCUGAAAAACCCACACAGAGACACAAUCGUUUUCUCUGACAAAAUCUCAUAAACUCGUUCAGAGACGAGACCACAAACUAACAACCCUCUUCUUUUUUUCACCUUUGACCGUACUUCUUGGUGAGUUCAAAUUUCCAAUUGAAAUCCCAGUAGCAGAAAUGCAAAUGUUAAAUAUCACUUUGAAUUGGAGGCCUCUUUCGACUUCCACUCCAUGAUCGAAUCCUAAGCUCGAAUUCCAAGCACUAUCAGUCGCGGAGCUCAAAGAGCGCCACGCGGUGGCGAGCGACACCGUCAACUCGCUAAGAGAGCGGUUGAAGCAGAAGCGCGUUUCCUUACUUGACACAGAUGUGGCUGGGUAUGUAAGGUCACAAGGGAAGACUCCCCGCCAAGCUCAACGCACAGAUCCGCCAAGCUCAACGCAAAGAUCCGCCGCGACCCACUCGAUCGUUUUUUAUUUUCAGAGAGCACCAUGGCCUUUGUAUUAUCUUUUCCUGUAAAACUUCAUCCUUCAAACCAUCAGGUGGGGUAGAUCCUGCUUUCCUCCAUCAUGGCUUCGCAGGAUAAAGGUUGACCGCUACCGAAAUUCGGGGAAUGGGAUGUAAACUACCCAGCUUCAGCUGAAGGAUUUACUGUUAUAUUUAACAAGGUCAAAGUUGACAAGAAGACCAGUGUGGCUCAUCUCCAUAGCCGGUCCUCCGUGGCAGCUCUUCACCAUCACCCGGCCUUUCAAACUUAGUCCUCCCAUAGCUCGGCCUUCUCGACGGCUCUUCGCCGUUUAGCUAAAAAUAUGGGUGAUAGGUAGCAUGCGCUUUGUUGAAGUGGCUUUGGUAGAACCAGAUAAACGUGUUGUAGCACUGGCAGAUGCGUAUUUCUUCCCACCCUUCCAGCCGUCAUUGUUUCCCAGAACCAAAGGUGGACCUAUGAUUCCUAGUGAACUUCCUCCAAGGCAAGCGAGACUUGUGGUUUAUAAUAAAAGAUCAAAUGAGACGAGCAUCUGGAUUGUUGAACUAUCAAAGGUGUAUGCAACAACUAGAGGUGGUCACCAUAUGGGUAAAGUCAUUUCAUCCAAAGUUGUUCCAGAUUUUCAGCCCCCCGUGGUAUAUAAGCCCAGGCCCAUAGAGUCCCCCACUGCCCCUUCCACAGCUUUCGCACCAACACAUACAAGCUCACUUUCAUGAAGUCCCCUUUCUGGCAUUAAAAUUAUAUUGGUUACACAUCCUAGAACUGGUGACUUGAGGGAGUCUCAAAAGCUACAUUUACAACUUGUAUGUCGAGUAUGUGGUGACUUAAGAGCCGAAAGAUCCAAAUUCAAAGAGGAGUCGAGUGUGAGGUGGCUGCUUUUUCUGAUGUUUCUGCUGCCGUGUUUCAGCCCGUCGCCUCCAAUAUCUCCAUUCUUGAGCAGUGAUAGGAGCAUAUUUAUGCGACUGAGUUAGCUUGUUCUCAUGCAUUUAUGUUGUUAUUUCUUAGUUAAUUAUGUAUUUUAAGUUAUUUUCGUGUGUUUGUAGGUCCAAUGGGUUAAUGUGGCAAAUAAGUGCAUUUUGGAGCAUUUUUAGGCAUGGAAUGGAUAGCUUAUGCUUAGAGCAAAAGGAAUGGACGAAAUUUGAAGUUUGUGCAUCAUCAUCUCCCUAUAAAUAACCGUUUUAGCACACUCAUUUCACCCAACACAUUCACCUACCAUUACAUACACUCAUUUCACCCAACACAUCCACUCAUUACAACCACCCAACACAUUCACCUACCACUACAUCCACUCAUUUCACCCAACACAUCCACUCAUUUCAACCACCCAACACAUUCACCUACCACUACAUCCACUCAUUACCACCACCCACUACAUCCUCUUCCUAGCCUAUAAAUACAUUCAUCCACCCUUCAUCAAAAGAGAGAUAUAUCAAUCAAAACACAUCCAUUCAUCUUCACAUCCAUUCCUCCAUAGAAACAAACCUUCAAACACUUGCCAACACCUUGUGCCGUAGCAAAAGAAUGGAAGGAAAGUGCUUGGAUGUGCUUGUUGUCCAACUUGGAUCGUUGGAGUGUUUAUGUGUUUUCUUUCUUUUGUUUCCAAUGUUUAAAUUCAUUUUAUUUUGUUUUGUUGUGAAGAUGAGUGGUUAAACCCCUCUUGGCUAGGGGUGAUUUCAAAGCCAUGAUUAUGUGUGUAAUAUGAUUUGAUAAAUUCCAGUUAUGAACUCUUGAAUCGUAAAUGCAAUUGGCUUAACUAUUUGAUUGAUAACUUAUUUGUAUUUGUUGAUUAAGGGUCGACACUUAAUUGGCAUGCAUUAAUCCGUUGCUAGAAUAUAAAGAAGUUUCACAUAAUCGCUACAAACUUAUAUUCACAUGUAGUGAAGGUCGCUUAUAAACAAUCGUGUUAAGUUCAAUUCCUAGCAUGAGUGACAUGAUGCCAUAGUUGCAAGUGUUUUGUCAAUGCUUAUGAUUUUCAUUAAACGUAAUGAUAUUUGAUUGUAUCUCUAUUAUGAUGUCAUGUAGGGAACUUUAGAAUAAUGUUUUGGGUUGCCAAAUGAUGUCAUCCAAUCAAAUAAAACAAGGAAAAUCUUAGAGUUAAUUAGUGAUGUCACGGUUAAUUUGGAGCAUUGUCAUUCAUAAUUCAAUGAAGUAGUAACUGGAAAUCGAGUUAUUUGCAUACAUGUCAUGUGUAGAAAAAAAGCCUCUAUCUAUCUCAUCCAUCAUCUUAUUUCUCAAAUUUGUUUUACAAUCUGUCUAGUUUUUCAUAAUUGUUUGUUUGUUUCAACUUCGUCCAAAACUCAAUCCCCAUUUACUUUAGUGUGUCUAAUUAGUUGUAAUAUGUUUUAAUUUGUGUUUUUAAAUGUUUUGAUUCAAGUAAAAGUCAAUUUUCGUCCAAAGUCAUUUCUAGUGUCUAGUUUAAGUUUAUUUAGUUGUUUUAAGUUGUUUUGAGUAUUUUAAGUUUGCUUUGAGUCUUGUGAGUCUUGUUAAGUAUUUUUAAGUUUAGUUUUAUGUUUUUGAGUCAGUUUAGAGGUUAUUAGCAAGCCCUCCUAAUAUCCGGUCCAGAACGAUCCAUACUUAUACUUGUACUACAAUUGUCAAAAGAGGGUUAAAUUUGUGUGUUAAGAUAAUUUUCGCAUCAAGCAGCUCAAGACCUUUGCUGUUGACAAAAUGAUAGACUUGCCGUUGAGAUAAGAUCCCUCUUUUCUUUAUUAUCAAAAGAGGGUUAAAUUUGUGUGUUAAGAUAAUUUUCGCAUCAAGCAGCUCAAGACCUUUGCUGUUGACAAAAUGAUGGACUUGCCGUUGAGAUAAGAUCCCUCUUUUCUUUAUUAUUUUACUUUAUCAUCAUUACUUCCCUAGCCACCAGAAAAUGAUGGAACUUUCAUGAUACAAACCCAUACUCAAAGAAAUCAGAGGCACAAUGGAAAGAUACCAAGAAAAGCAGUGGGAACAGAAAAGCAAAAAAAAAAAAAAAAAAUAAAAAAAAAGAAAAGAGGAGUGAUGGGCACGACCAGGCUGUCCAAGAAAGCAAGUGGGUGGUAUCAAGGCUGUCAUGUUACGUUUUACAGAAGAACAUGCAGGAAACGGAAAAGAGGAAACAAAACAAAAGCAAAGCAGAAAGCAAAAACAAAGAAUGAUGUGAUUUGCUUUUAUUGUUUUUAUGAUGUAAUUUAUUUUUAUCUUUCGGAGAUAUGCUCAAAAGAGCCAUACCCUUUAUUAUCACCAACCAGGUGACCAAAAGUACGCCCAGUACUCCACAAUUAUUCGGCAACCUACCGCUAUUACCACCGACCAGGUGAUGAGAUGUACAACCCGUACUCUAAUUUGGCAACUAGCCAUUCAUGCCACCAACCAGGUGAUCAAAAGUACGCCCAGUACUUCAUAUUAUACAUGAGCAUUACUCAUAUCAAUCAUACAUAAACAUUCAUGAGCAUCACUCAUGUCAACAUUCAUGAGCAUCACUCAUGUUAACAUCCAUAAGCAUCACUCAUGUUAAUCAAACAUUCAUGAGCAUCACUCAUGUCAAUCAAACGUUCAUGAGCAUCACUCGUGUCAAUCAGUUUCAAAAGCUUCAUUUACAAAAUCACUAGCUUCAAAAGCUUUUUUUUACAGAGCUACAACUUCAAAAGCUUCAUUUACAACUUCAAAGCUUCACUUACAAAGCUUCAGUGCAGGGUAUACAAAUACCGCCUCCAAACAACCGUCACUUCGGCCCGUACAUGGAUUCAAUUUGAAGUCUCCAGCCAACAGACUCUAUUAACCGAAGACUUGAAGGACUACAUUAUGUACCAUAUAUUGGGCCUCAACUGGGCCUCAUGAAAAAUACUUGGGGGACUUAGCCCAUUACUUAUGUAUUGAAGAGCGAGCCCUUAUUCUAUAAAAGGGACUCUCUCACUUUCAUUAGAGAGCACCUAUUAUUCAUGUACUAAGGAGCGAGCUCUUAUUUUAUAAAAGGGACUCCCUCACCAUCAUUAGAAAGCAACGCCGCCAGCUGAGCAACCGUCUCGCUGCGAGCAUUACUCCUAACCCAUCACUUAUGUAUUUAAGAGCGAGCCCUUAUUCUAUAAAAUGGUGAGGGAGUCCCUCACCACCAUUAGAGAGGAUCGCCGCCUACUAAGCAACCGCCUCGCCGCGAGUAUCAACUCUAGCACAUCAUUUAUGUAUUGAGGAACGAGCCCUUAAUAUAUAAAAGGGACUCCCUCACCAUCAUUAGAGAGCAUCAACUCUAGCCCAUCAUUCAUGUAUUGAGGAGCAAGCCCUUAUUCUAUAAAAUGGACUCCCUCACCUUCAAACGCCGUAAGCCGAGCCAACCAAGGAAACAUAAGCCACAAGCCGAGCAGCCUCGCAGCGUGUGCUACUUCUAGUUGAGCGUCAUUUUAGAUUGAGCACUGCCUCAUAUUGAGCAUCAGUUUAAGACAUCAUCUAGUUACUUCGGCCCACACAUGGACUGAAUUUUAAGUCUCCAGCCAAAAGACUCUCUUAACUGAAGACUUGGGGGACUACUGUUUAUACCAUAUUUAGGGCAUCGUAUUUAGACCUCGUAUAAAUACUCGAGGGACUUAAAUGUAAUUAUGUAAUAAAGGAAUGGGCAAAUAUGUAAUUAGGGAAGGAGCCCUUAUUCUACAAAAGGGCCUCCUCACCCUCACAAACCCUAAGCCUCUCCUAUCUAGAGCAAAGCUCUCACACUCUCUCCCUCGCAAAUACUCUCAGAGAAAUACAAUCAGUGUGGACGUAGCCUAAACCUUGGGGUGAACCACGAUACAUCUUGUGUUAUUUACAUUUCAUGCAGAUUCACGGUCGGAUUUACGUUGUUCCAAGACCUCCGGUUUUAUGCAUCAACAAAAGUAGAUUUUGGAAUUACAAUCAUGCCAUGCCUUUCUUUCUUACACAUAAAUGCGUGCUAUGGGUUAGGAACACUGCCAGAUUUCCUAUGCGAAAUACCACUGCAGAAUCUUACCAUUUUGGGGUGUUCUAAACUUGCCCAACAUUGCGUAAAAGGUAGCAGAAAAGAGUGGCUCAAGAUUUCUCACAUCUCAAACAUCGAGAUUUAGAACAUAUAUGGUGAGUUGCACUGCUUUGAUUUUUUACUUCAUUUGGAUAUAUAUAUAUAUAUAUAUAUGUAUAUGUAUAUGUAUAUGUAUAUAUAUAUACAAAUGCAAUUUAACUAUUUGCUUUCCAAAUUGCAGUACCUUUUUCAAACAUCAAACCUUCAACAGAUAUGGUGCACUGGGGCAAAAAAGUUUCCAGCUUAUCUGAUGACUGAUAUAAAGAGAAUUUAUCAAGUGAUGUCGAUGUAACUUGUCGAGAUAUGCCUAUUAGGCACCACAUCAAACAUUUGACAAGCACAAAAAGGACAAACACCAAACAUUCAGAUGUUCCUCGUAAAACCUUUGCAUGUAUAUUUUUAAGACUCCGGGUGGCCUAAAUAUACAUCUGCACUGGCAUAUAUCGUUGAACGAUGCUCGUUUGCCAUCUCCGCCAUCACUCCCAGCCCAAGCUGGCCGUCCGAUAAGGUCAAGGGCGAGGAAGCUGCGUGGGAAUUUGCCAAGGAGAAGGGCUGGAUGUCGUGUGGUGAAUCCAGGCACAGUGAUAGGCGCUGUUAUGUCGCGGAGUCUCAAUGCUAGCAUGUUGAUGCUCGUUCGCCUUCUUGAGGGUACUUUUCUCUGCAAAUUAGCGAAUUGAAAUCUGAUUUUUCCUAUAAUAGAAUUUUCAUGCGGGUAUAGAUUUGCAUACAUCAUCUUCCCUUGGUCUGCUUAGAAUCACUUCCAAAUGUCGAUUUCCAGGUUUAUCAACCUUUUGGUGCAUUCUCGCUUGCCUUCCGAAUUUUACAAAUUUUUUAGGUGACAUUGUUUCUUGUUUAUAAAAAAAAUAAGAAAUUGUUAUUGACAUUCAAAAUUUUCUAUAAUUAGUAAGAAAAUUAUAUUGUGAGAAAUGUAGAGUAAAUUUUUUGAAGUAUUAAUAAUAGUUUCCUAAAAAUAGACGAUAUUACUAAUUUGCAUACAUCAUCUUCCUUUGGUCUGCUUAGAAUCACUUCCAAAUGUCGAUUUCCAGGUUUAUCAACCUUUGGUGCAUUCUUGCUUGCGGAAUUUUACAAAUAUUUUAGGUGACCGUGACAUUGUUUCUUGUUUAUAAUAAAAAUAAGGAAUUGUUAUUGGCACUUCAAAAAUCGCAUUUUGCAUUUUAAACUGUUUAUAAUUAGUAAGAAAAUUACACUGUGAGAAAUGUAAAACAAAAUUUUUAAAUUGUUAAUAACAAUUUCCUAAAAAUAAACGAUAUUACUAAUUUGGGAUACAUAGAGAAAGCAAUCGUUUUAACUCAAGAUACAGUGUGUAGUGUGUGUUUUAUUUAUAUACUCAAUUUCGAUCUCUAUAUCUUUUUAUUUGAAAAUUCCAAUUAGAUUUUGGGCCUGCCUAAACGAAAAUUAUCCAGCUGGCCCAAUCCAACUUGAUCACCAUCAACAAUCAGCUAAAGUAAAUGAGGGACACACGACAGCCGAAAGCUAAGGGCCACAGGAGGGAGGAUGUCGAAGCAGGGUGAGGUCGUAUGCGUUACCGGUGGAAGCGGCGGCAUCGGAUCCUGGCUCGUCCGUCUCCUCCUCCACGGUGAUUACACCGUCCACGCCACCGUCAAGGAUCUCAGUAACUUCACCCUUGCUUUUCCCCUUAUCUACACAACUGCCACAGUUCCAUUCAUUCCAUUCGCGUUCAAUCCAAAAUUAAUAACGCCGUUGUUUUGUUUGUUGCAGAGGACGAUGGCGAGACGAAGCAUCUAGAAGCGUUAGUAGAGGGGGCAGAGUCGCGCCUCCGUCUCUUCCAGAUCGACCUCCUCGACUACAACUCCAUACUCGCCGCCGUCAAUGGUUGCUCCGGCGUCUUCCACCUCGCCUCUCCCUGCAUCGUCGACCAAGUCCACGACCCCGAGGUUCGCAUCAUUAAGCAAUAUCAAAUUCCUUUUAAUUUUGAUUAUAUUUGAUUAAUUAUGCUUAAUUAUGAAACUUUGGUGCUUUUUUUUGGUUUAAUCUGCAGAAGGAGCUUCUGGACCCGGCGAUCAAAGGAACGCUCAAUGUUCUGACGGCCGCGAAGCAGGCUGGGGUCAGCCGUGUGGUGCUGACGUCAUCCAUCUCCGCCAUCACUCCCAGCCCAAGCUGGCCGUCCGAUAAGGUCAAGGGCGAGGAUUGCUGGACAGACAUUGAUUACUGCAAGCAGAAGGGAGUGAGUUACUCGAAUGCCUAAUAUACGGUUUAUUGUCUGUUUAAUGUCCGCAUUCAAUUUUCUUAUUGAAAGUUUGUAACUUUCGGUGCACGUUUCCCCUGCUUGUACUGUAUCUUUCAUCUUUUGAUUAUUAAUUCUUCAUUUUUAACUACUCGAAGUUUUCACAAUUGGGGACUGUAAUGCUGAUUGUGUUUGGUGUAUGGCUAGUUGUGGUAUCCAUUAUCGAAAACGCUGGCGGAGAAAGCUGCGUGGGAAUUUGCCAAGGAGAAGGGGCUGGAUGUGGUUGUGGUGAAUCCGGGCACGGUGAUGGGCCCUGUUAUCUCGCCCAGGCUCAAUGCUAGCAUGUUGAUGCUCCUUCGCAUUCUUGAGGGUACUUUUCUCUGCAAAUUUUGUGUUAGAAAAUCCUCUAUGACUGCACCUUGAAGUAGAUUGUUGACCUUGUUUAUCCUCUUGGACUGCCCUCUUAAGUUGCUUGAAUCUUCCACUAGCACUUAAUGUUCUCUUGCCUGAUAGUAUGCCAUGUAAUGUUGCGAAAUUCGCACUCAAAUCAUAAAUUUAGACGAAAUUUGAUCUUUGAUUGACAGUUUGUAUGAUGACAUAUCAUCUCAAUGGCAAGAGAACAUUUCCCAUUUAUUAUGUAUGAUGCUGUGGUUGGUUGAUGAACUAAAAAUGAGGUAAAAAUGAGGUUUUUUUUUUUUUUCUCUUAAGACAUUUUUGCUAAAGAAAGAUUGAGUUUGGUACCUCAACACUUGGAAGAUUUCUUCUUUCAUAACAGUCGAGAUUGCUAAUUGUUUUGCCAGUUUGUCCGUAAGCUUGAGAAGGUAGAUUGUGUGAGCAUGCAUAUGUGUAAUCAUAAAGGAACUCUUCUACACCUCUUUUUUUAGCACAUGUUUCUUUAAGUUGCAAGGAUUUUUGAUAAAGUUUUUUUUGGAGAGGACUGAGAAAGAGGAUGAGGCCCUAGAAAGUAGAAACAACGUAUAUAUAGUUUUGAGUUGUUCGCUCUUUGCUGCAGGCUGCACUGAAACAUAUGAGGACUUCUUUAUGGGAUCUGUGCAUUUUAAAGAUGUUGCUCUCGCACACAUUUUAGUGUAUGAGAACAAAUCAGCGACCGGUAGGCACUUGUGUUUGGAAGCUAUAUCACGUUAUGGUGACUUUGUGGCAAAGGUUGCUGAACUUUACCCUGAGUACAAGGUUCACAGGUAAGUUUUGGUCCACAAAAUGCAUUUGCAAAUGAAAUUUUGUGCAUAUCUUAUGUUUUAGAUGUUUGGUUUCCUGAUAAGUGAAUGUUUCGUCCCUUGUCAGAAGCACAACUUAAAAAUAUACUAUGUCUUGAUUUUUUAAACCGAGGUUUCUUAGAUGCACUGAACUCUUCUACAGCUGGAGGACCAUGGUUUUUUCUCUCUUUUUUUCCUUCCAUCACGUGUUUUAGAUAUUUGAGACCAAAUUAGCGAAUUGAAAUCUGAUUUUUCCUAUAAAAUAGUUUUCAUGCGGGUAUAGAUUUGCAUACAUCAUUUUUCUUUGGUCUGUUUAGAAUCACUCCCAAAUGUUGCUUUCCAAGUUUAUCAACCGUUAGGUGCAUUCUCGCUUGCCUUGGAAGAAUUUUGUAAAUUUUUAGGUGGUGUGAGUGCCUGAUUUUGAAAAUGAUCGAGCUAAUAUGUUUGCCUUUGUGUAGUUUGCCAAAGGACACCCAACUGGGCUUGCUGAGGGAAAAGAACGCAGCGAAGAAGCUAAUGAACUUGGGUUUAGAAUUCAUUCCCAUGGAUCAAAUUAUCAAGGACGGUGUGGAGAGCCUAAAGAGCAAGGGAUUUAUUUCAUAAAUAAAACUGCAGGGAUAUGAAACUUAUCAGGGAUUGCAAGGGAUUUAUUUCAUAAAUAAAACUGCAGGGAUAUGAAACUUAUCAGGGAUCUAGGUAUGUCUUGUACAGUUGUACUAGUUGCGAGGACAUGUAACCUGAAUGGUUGUUUCAACUCCCUUGAAUAUUCCCUUUUCUGUGAAGAAAAUACUAUUAAUGAUUGUACGAUAAAUUUACCUUAAAGUUCACACUUAAAUCGGGUUAGCUGUUAGAAUAUCAGUGCAUUGUUGGACUGGAACGCUACGUGGUGGCUAACCAGUUCCACGUAAGUCCUCCCAGUCUACGUCAAAUUCUUUGUAUAACGAGGGAAUUUCUCUUGAUUUUCACCACACCGAAAGUUAAAAGGACUAAUAGCAAAUAAUUCCUAACAUGGCUAGUACUGUGGAAGCAAAAGCAGCAGCAACAGCUCCUCCAUCUUCGGUUGGUGGGGACGUUAGCAAAGUAGAUUCCAAUGUUCUUGAGAAAAUCCUCCCAGAGUAAAUGUACGGUCGGGCAGUUGAGGUGCGUAGAGAAGAGUACCAUAGGCAGAGAUUUGAGUCCAGUUACUGAUAUGUUGUGGCGGAAUUUCUACGUGAAGGAGUUCGGUGCUUCGAGGUUGAAGAGUCGGCAUCAAAUGGAAGCUUCUCGGAAACAAUGCCGGCAAGUUUUUGUUGGCACAGGGGCAGAGGUUCCGUCAUUGUCAAGAACCAACAAAAGUAGCAGCAGCAGCAACACCCUUGGGGUUGGCAGCGACAAUGUUUCUGUCCGAAAAAAGGAAAGCUUGAUCAUGAAGAAAGCAAAGAGUUACUGUUCCAAGAAAGAUUCGACAACAUUCAAGAGAAGCGCCAUCGUUUCUGAAGAUUACGCUCCAAAAUUUUGACUACUACAAACUAGGCAACAUCAGAGCUUGCUUGAUAGCCUAGGCCUUUUAGUUUUGAUCAAAUCUACUCCCUCUCCUGACAAUGUUCUAUAUAAAUUCGAACAAUACUUGGCUACUUAAAAUGCAUAAAAUGUUCUUUUAGUCUUUGACACAACUGACAAAUGGUGUUAUUAAAAGAUUUAAUAUCUUCAAACAUUUACUUUAAAGAAAUUAUACCCUUAUGAAUCUUUGGUUGCCGAGAAUACAUGGGAAAGUUACUGUCUUUUUGUUUGUGUGUUGUCUAGGAAUAGUAUUGUCGUGGGUUUCAGAAUGUGCAGAAGAUUGGUCUAUUAGUAAGGUUGUGAUAGAGAUAGUUGUUUACAUAAUUUUGUUACUUUCAGGGUUCGAAUGUAUCGAAAAUGGUCUAAAUUUCGUUACUUAAAGUAAGUAUUGGGGUUUGCUCAGUAUAGUGAACUCUACCAGAAGGUUACAUUGUUGUUGUACAUUGAUUUUCAACCGGAAAAGCACUUGGAAGUGUUUCCUGGACUAGCUUUUAAGUCUAUCAACUAGGGUUUUUCCAGGUACUUUUGUAUAGAACUUAACACUAAUGCGUAUUGUCAACUCCGCAUUCAGGCACAUCACCAUAGUAUCAAGGAUAAAAAUGUAAUGACACCUACAAGAGAGAAUCCUUAGAGGAUAAGGAAUCAUAGUUUGUUUUGGUUGUUUUUCCUUUUCUGUUAGCUGUAACAGUUUGUGUAUAAAUACCCAAGUGUAAACAUUAUUCAGUUAUGCAAUGGAAAAUAUUUUUCCUAAUAUGGUAUCAACCGCCAAUAGUCCUAUGACAACUCUCCCUCUUCGAUCCUCCUUUCCCGCUUCUUUCUGCACCGCUUGACUUUCCUCUUCUUCUCCGAUCAAUCGAUCGAUUUCUUUAUCUUGAUCGUGAAUUCUUCUUCAACCUUCAGCUAUGGCGGACUCUGCAUCUCCUUCCUCAGGAUCAGAUCCUCCUGCUCAUCCGCUUCCUACAGAAAUCCCUAACCCUAAUUCUGCGAUUUCCUCUUCCAUCACCAUCCAAAAUAUUGGAUCUAUGGUUCCAAUCAAGCUUACAACUACAAAUUACCUGACUUGGAGUGCUUGAUUUGCAUCGAUUGUCAUGCCCCGAUCCCGACGUACAUCUAGGAUUGACACGUGACGUUAUCAAAUAACCAUAUAUCUAACAUACCCGUCUAUGAGAUAUGAACCAAGCACAUGCCAUGCCUCGAAUUGCGUAGUAAAUUUUGUACACUUUAUGGAUGCAUCUAACAUUCUCGUUAGACUGCCUAUGUACCCUACACAGGAAUCAAGCCAUUCGUAGUUCAUCUUCGCUACAACUCGACAUAUAACACAGUCAGUUCAAGCCAAAAGGCAUAACAUUCCUCAAUCAAACUUUUGGACUUGACAAGCAUGAAAUUAUUCGCUUCAAGCUACAUAACAACCCACAUGACAAUCAAGGUUUCUAUUUCAUCCAUCAUAUAAAUCAUUAUCUUUCAACAUAAAAUCGCAAUUCAUAUCAUGUGAUAUAUCAAAGAAUCAACAAAGCACAAUAGUAUCCUCUAGUCGUAUUGAUCAUUGAUCUAAUCGUAUUAAUAACAAUCAUAUUCAACAUCACUUCACAUUCACCUCAAGUAAUCCAUUCCAUGAGUCAAGGAGACACGAUAUUAACAUUUAAUUACGUUAAUUAGUCAACCAGAUCACAUAUCGGUGCACGAAAUUAAAUGAAAGAAUUCUACAUAAUUCCCUGCCUGGAUUCUAAGUAAUAACUUGAUAAUUCUAAUUUAUAUUCAUAAGGUCUAUUGUGGGUAAUUCUCAUGCAUUCAAAUCUAAUGUUCUAGACUAACCUUAUGGCAAUGAGCAAGAGCAAGGAAUCCGAACUACUCAACAAAAUCCAACAGUCUUGGGUUCUGGACCACUCAACGGAACUAAAAUACCAAGUGUGGAGCCAAAAAUAUUCACUAGGCGACACGUGGACUUUUGGACAAAAGAGGACAAAAAUACCCUCGAGGCAUACCGGGUUUCCUACACGCGAGCAGUAGAGAAUCAUUUUUUCAACCAAGUCAAAAGUGCCCAAAAUAGGUAUCAACUUAAAACCUAAUUUAUUCAUAUAUUUCCCAUUUCAUUAUUUAGCUAAUCAAUUAGCUAAAUAAUAUACUUAUUCCUUUCAUAUUUCAUAAAAUCAUAAUAAAUUGACUAAUUAAGGGAUUAAUUACCUAAUCAAUCCCUUAAUUGUCAAUUUGAAACAUCCACUCAAACCUAAAAACACAAGAGGGCCGGCUAUCCCAUUGAAAAACCUAAUCCAUUACCUUUUUUCUACCUUUUCCCACCAUUUUCUUCCUUUUUAUUAGCCAAUUAUACAAAAAACCACCAAAACAUUCAUUUUAUGUUUAAUAGCCAAAUAAAUUGGCUAAUUAAACCUAAAAACCCUAGCCACCUCCUAUCCCUAUAAAUAUACUCCCAUUCUCACCAAAAAGCUAAUUCCAACACUUUGGUAAAAAUCCCAAAAUUCUCUAAACACUCUUUCUCUCUAAAUUCUAACUUUGGCAUCGGAGGUUCUUCGGCCAAAGCCCCCUCCAUUCAUCGUGGGCGCGUGAGGCUCUUGGCCUUAACCUAAGGUGUUAAUUGUUUUGUAGGUGCAAAAUCGUCCAAGAUCAAGGAGGAAGAAAUUUGCAUCCACAAAUUGGUGCUUUCAUUGAGAGUUGAAAUCCAUACUCGUAGAAGACUCUCGCACAAAAAAGGUUUUUUCUUUAUUUUCUAGUCCAUUUGAAUAUUUUUCAUACGUUCUUAUUAUUAGAAUUUUUUACUUGCAAAGGUUCUUUGAUAAAACGUAUAAGCAAAAUAUAAUGGCUAGAAAUUUAGAAAAUUCCACAAGUGAAAAUUCUAAUGUUCAAGAAAUGGGAUUGCGGAGAUCCGUGAGGCUAAAUGCGACAAUAAGGGGAGCGGCAUCAUCAUCACGAGCUUCAACCAUGGGAACCACCGUGGUGGCUACUUCGGUAGCUACCCGCGGCGAGGUCCAUGGUGCCUUCACCACGGCCACCAUGGGAACCACCGCGGUGGCUACUUCGGUAGCCACUCGUGGCGAGGUCCAUGGAGCCUUCACCACGACCCGGAGAUCCGUAAGGCAAAAUGCGACAAUAAGGGGAGCGGCAUCAUCACCACGAGCUUCCACCAUGGGAACCCACCGUGGUGGCUACCUCGGUAGCCACCCACGGCGAGGUCCAUGAUGCCUUCACCACACGGCCACCAUGGGAACCACCACGAUGGCUACUUCGGUAGCCACUCGUGGCGAGGUCCAUGGAGCCUUCACCACGGCCCGAGCCGUGCCAUCCAAGGCUCACGGUACCAAGACCACGAUCCAAGCCGUGCCAUCCAAGUUCACGUGGACCCAAGCCCAAGCCUCGCAUUCACAUGCACCGCGUAUUGAGCAGCCUACUCCCGUGAUCCAGCCUGCUCCCGUCGAGCAACCCACUCCCGUGGCCCAGCCUGCUCCUGCCAAGCAGCCCACUCCCGUGGCCCAGCCUACUCCUGCCAAGCAGCCUACUUCCGUGGCCCAGCCUGCUCCCGCCAAGCAACCUGCUCCUGCCAAGCAGCCUGCUUCCGUGGCCUAGCCUGCUCCCGCCAAGCAACCUGCUCCUGCCAAGCAGCCUGCUCUCGUGACCCAGCCUGCUCCCAACGAGCAGCCCACUCUCAAGGCCCACACUGCUCCCGUGGCUUUCCAAGCAGCCCAAGUCGGCCCAAAACUAUCUCAACCAUCUGGACCUACCAUCGAGCCGGGGGCAUUCUCACCACAUUUUUUCACGGAUUUGACAUUUCCCAACUCAAAUCUCGCGCCCGGAGUCUACCACCAUUCCACUGCUCAAGGAGGCGCAUUCAUUCCAAGCUCUUCCAAUCCAAAUGGCGAACAACACUUGUCUCGACAAGUCAUAGAGUUGACGAGCGCCCUUGCACAACAGACAACUUUGGUGAAUCAACUUUUGCAACGCAUCGGGAUCCAACAUGCCCCGGACGAGGUAUCCCGAAGUAGGACAAGGGCAGACGAACCUUUCCAGCAGCAUCCCAGCAAGCAGCCAUUCGACCAGCCACGAGUUGAACGUUCAGGCAGUGUACAUUCCCGAUUGGGCCCCCGAGAUAGCGUAUACUCCCGUUUUAGCGCGCGGAUGAGCGUGUACUCUCGACUAAGCCAACGGAUGAGCAUACAUUCACGGUUGGGGUCACACUCCGAUAGUCAACAUGAGCAACCUUCCAGACAAAGUGUUCAUUCGCGGCUAAGCCCACAAGGAGCAUCAUCCACCUCACAUCAGAGUAGGCAGCACGACGGACGGAGAGAAGCAGUCACUCAAUCCAGCUCAAGUUCAACCAGCAGCCUGCGAAGAACUCGCUCGCCUGCUAGGAAUGCACCAUAUGCACUGCAUAUGCGGCAUAAACGAGCCAAACACAUGGAAGAGCAGCCUAGACCAGCAAGUCAUGGCUGGGGGCAGCCGAGAGCUGCACUACCCCAACAAAGGCAAAUUCAGGAAGAAGUAGAGAGACUCUUGACCAAGCGAUUGCAUGAUUUCCAACGCAAUGAGGUCACCGACGAGGCACUACGAUGGAACAUGACCAACAUAAGCAGGUCACCCUUCACGGACGAGAUCGAGCAGGCAGAGCCUCCACGAGAGUUCAGCAUGCCAUAUUUCACAUCUUUCAAAGGGGAUGAAGACCCGGAGAGACACUUAAAGCGCUACCGAAGUGCAAUGAUCCUUUAUCGAAACAACGAUGAGCUCAUGUGCAAGAUAUUCGCCACCACUCUACAAGGCGAGGCGCAAGAUUAGUUCUACACCUUGCCGCCACAAUCCAUCCGGGAUUUCUACGAACUUUCUUUGGUUUUCACCAAAGAAUAUUCAUCCUAUCGCUCGAUCAAAAAGAAGUCUGAUCAUUUGUUCAACGUCAAGAAGAACCCAAAGGAGUCGCUUCGCGACUAUGUGAGGAGGUUCAAAGUAGAGAAGGCAAAAAUAGUCGGAUGCAACGACUCGAUAGCUAGAGCAGCCUUCCAAAAAGGACUUCCAGCAGACCACCCGCUAUUCGGAAAAUUGAUCAUGAAAGAAGAUCUAACUCUGGCAGACUCUUUUGCUUUGGCAGAGAAGUAUGCACUUUGGGAUGAGGCUCGCCAAUGCACAUUCAAGGACUUGAAGAAGUACCCGACAUCACCUCCCUAGAAGCAGUGGAUGACUUAUUCACAUGUUUGACGUUAUCUAAAGUAGCAAUAAGCUCUACCAUCAUGCGAGAAGAGAUGGGGGCCCGACUACCUGUAUUCCACAGUUACCUGUAUUCUACAGUUCAAAAGCUCUCCUCGAUGUUAUUAAAAAUUCAAAAGUUAACUUUGGCGAUAGUUGUUGCAAUAAGCUCUACCAUCAUGCGAGAAGAGAUGGGGGCCCGACUACCUGUAUUCCACAGUUACCUGUAUUCUACAGUUCAAAAGCUCUCCUCAAUGUUAUUAAAAAUUCAAAAGUUAACUUUGGCGAUAGUUGUUGCAACCUAGAAGCACAAAUUUUACUUUCAAACGCAUGCAAUCAUCCUAAUGACGUACUAUUCUGCCCAAUCCAGACGCGCGACGAUAAAGGCGUAGACCCUGGCGGAUGUAAAGUUUUCUGAUGAACGCAACACUGGAAAGACACACUUGAAAGCAAGUUUUAUCCUCGUCACCCUGAAAGAUUCUACAUAGGAGCAACAUGUACCGGCAGUUGAGUACCAUUUCUUGCUGCGCAUCAUACGGCCCUAGCCGACCCUUGCUCAAUGAUUCAACUCUAGAGUGGCCCAAUACCGGCAGUUGAGCAUCUCCUGUUGCGUAUGACAUGGCCCCAUCUCCACAGCUCCCUACUGCACCUUCACGCCGAGCCUAGGUGACGCAACAAAGCGGCCCAACGAUGCCUCAGAAGUAGCCGAGCACACUCUAGCUGCGCCUACUCCACCCGAUGGAGACUUCUGCCAUUUACAUGUCGACGGCGCAGAAAAACCUUCGUCACUGCCGGCAGAGAAGGCUCCAAAAAGAUGGAUCCCAUCUGGGAAGGUCCGUACAAGAUCAGCAGAGUAGGGGGCAAGAGUAAUUACACCCUCACCACCAUGAAGCGGCAAAAAUAUUGAAAAAAAAAUGGAUGGCCUACAAUCUGAAGAAGUACCAUGUGUGACCUCCCGCUACAUCAAAACCCGAAGAUUCAAUAAGCUCGACGGGCACCACCUCACAAGCUGAGGACUAUCCAGUUGUUAUGCAGUUCCUACCUUACAGCUAAAGUUCUCGUUCGUUUUACUCGUUUUUCAAUGAGGAAUUUAGAAGUAAUCACAACUUGGCUUGGUUGCAUGCUUACAACAACUAAUCACUCUUGCACUUCAAAAGAAAACUGCACCCUUCUUAGGGACUCAUCGCAGGAAUUGCGCCCCCCGAGUGACCAACCAUGCUCUCCAGUGCGAGAGGGUAAACCAAUUCUCCGACACCCAUAUGGGUCAACUCUCCAAGACGGGAGGAUAAACUUUACACUCCGAAUAUCCAGACAUGGAUGAGCCUGGCUGCCCUAGUAUAACUAGAUGCACGAUGGCUUGCGCCGGGAUUCCUAGAAGUAGCCGCAAUGGUCUUUUUCAAGGUUUAGCUAACUGAAGGAUUUUGGGUCUCUUGGCCUAAUCCGUGGGGAACCGGGCCCUAGAGACGGAGAGGGCACAUUACGCAGUAUAUCCGAUGGAUGGCUGCCCUGGAAUCCUAAAGCUGCUACCGAGUGCACUAAGGUAGCCUACGGAUUCCGGAAGACUGCCUACGGCUUGCCCUUCGAGCAGUGAAGCCGCACUAGACUUAUACAACCGCACAUUCUUGUGAAAGGUUAGACAAGCUAGCGCGCAUAUACGAAGUUUUAUCCACUGCCGACAUGCUACGUAGUCGAUAAGCUUCACCUCUGCCAAGCGCGGAACAACCUACACUAAGUCCUAAAGUGUUGUGAUACUUGCUACGCAACCUACGGAAUUGAAGAAAGUCAAAGUUAACAGCCUAGUGGUUACGCGGACUUGUCUGCUUCUGUAAGUAAGGCAUCCGGCUGCCAACCCUAUGGCUAACAACUUUGCAAAGUUCUACACCAACACCUACGGCUGCAUAGGCUACGCGAGUUUGUCUGCUUAUAAAAAAGUAGCAUGCCUGCCACUGGUCUAUCAAGUCUAAAGGUUAGGGCAUGAACAAAAAAAGUGAAGAUGAAGAAAAACGAAGGAAAACAUAUUUAUAAACAACUAGCAAAGGUUGAAGGAGUUCAAGCAAAACAAAAGCUACAAGGAAAAACAAAGAAAAUCCUAAAGGCUACCUAAAAUACUACACUACAGCAGCUUGGACAUUCCACGACUACUCGGUCGCCACACCUUCAACAGCCGUAACGCUCUUAGCAGCGGCAUCAUUCGGCGCUUCACCCCCGGCCGCCCCAGUCUGGGCACUAACUUCUCCAACUACUUCACCAAUGGAAGCCUUAAAAGUAAAAGCAAGCAAGUCUUCCGGAGAAAUAGAGAAGCUCAUCCACUCUCUUCUUAGCAUAAGUAGCGAAACGAAGCUCAGAAAUUGCAAGCUUAAGAUCUUGAAUCUGAGGCGAAUAAAUCUCAGCAGCAAAGGGAGCAGGCUUUGGCGCCACUUUAGCAGCAGAGUCCACCUUACCACUCUUCAUAAUAGCAAGUCUCUACAAAGGUGAACCGGACUUGGCUCCCAAAGAACGUCCUACAGACUUCGGCACUGGGGGCAUGAUAAAACCUUUACGCUGAGUAAUCUUAUCCACAAUUGUACUAGCCAUUCUCAACAUGGAAGACGCCACAUGCUCAGAUUUAGCAGCCUUACAUUUCUUCCCAUUGGAAAAUCAUGUCAAUCACAUACCUCUCGGUAGCAAGCGGACCCUCAUGAGCAGCAGAAGAAGUCUUCAGUUUUUUCUUAACUGGCAUCUCAUGAGCAGGCGGGGAAGAUCUCUUCUUUCCAUCUUCAUUCAUAGUAAGCUCCACGACAGCGAUCAGACGAGCCAAUGCAUCCGCCUUGAUCAUCUUUACCUCCUCUUUCUGGAGCAGCCCACAUUUCUUUCGGCAAAGAGGACUAAGCAGCCAACGACAUUCAUGGUACUCAGCAGGGGAGCUCAACCUAGCAUUCCAACAGGCAGGAGGCCUGCAUGCCCAACAUUCCAGCAGCCCAUGAGACCCGCAAUCUCCUUAUUUCUCUCAAUCACCAGCCUGGCCCGAGUCAGGUCCAAGAGCCCAAAGGACAUGAGCCAUGCGGCUCGCCUAGCACUGCGCCCCAGCGCCACAAUCCGCGACCCUAGUUGCAUAAGCUGCCUUUUGGCUCAAGCCAAGCCAAGCUGCCCAAGCAGUGGUCCCUGCCACAACAUCUCCUCGGCCCAUGCCGAGCCAACUCCUGGCCCCUGCCAGCCGAUGUGCCGCACCACCCCGACGGCUGCCCCGCAAUAGCACUAUCCAAGAAUAAGGCAAGAAAAAUUAAAUUUUUCUUACAUCGGUGCGGCACGAAGAAGACGAAGAAAGCAACGAAAGACGGUCCUUUGCACGGGCAAGAUGUAGAAGAUUGCUAGAGGAGGGGGAACAAAUAUCCUCUAAGCUAUCUCUCUCUUGUAGGGUAGAAUAAAUCGCUCUCCAAAGUUGAUUUAAUAACCCACUUAAGGUGGACUUAAAUAGGCUUUGAGAGAAAUUUAUUUCCCUUUCCUAGAAGGAUUUAAUUUCCUAUUAAAGAGAGAAUCAACAUCAAAAUAGGAAGCAGUCUUAAGUUUCCUAAAGCAAGAAGAUCUCUACACCUGCUGCCCUUUUUUGCGAGCAGCCCAACAGGUGUGGGGGCAUUUGUGGAGCCAAAAAUAUUCACUAGGCGACACAUGGACUUUUGGACAAAAGAGGACAAAAAUACCCUCGAGGCAUACCGGGUUUCCUACACGCGAGCAGUAGAGAAUCAUUUUUUCAACCAAGUCAAAAGUGCCCAAAAUAGGUAUCAACUUAAAACCUAAUUUAUUCAUAUAUUUCCCAUUUCAUUAUUUAGCUAAUCAAUUAGCUAAAUAAUAUACUUAUUCCUUUCAUAUUUCAUAAAAUCAUAAUAAAUUGACUAAUUAAGGGAUUAAUUACCUAAUCAAUCCCUUAAUUGUCAAUUUGAAACAUCCACUCAAACCUAAAAACACAAGAGGGCCGGCUAUCCCAUUGAAAAACCUAAUCCAUUACCUUUUUUCUACCUUUUCCCACCAUUUCUUCCUUUUUAUUAGCCAAUUAUACAAAAAACCACCAAAACAUUCAUUUUAUGUUUAAUAGCCAAAUAAAUUGGCUAAUUAAACCUAAAAACCCUAGCCACCUCCUAUCCCUAUAAAUAUACUCCCAUUCUCACCAAAAAGCUAAUUCCAACACUUUGGUAAAAAUCCCAAAAUUCUCUAAACACUCUUUCUCUCUAAAUUCUAACUUUGGCAUCGGAGGUUCUUCGGCCAAAGCCUCCCCCAUUCAUCGUGGGCGCGUGAGGCUCUUGGCCUUAACCUAAGGUGUUAAUUGUUUUGUAGGUGCAAAAUCGUCCAAGAUCAAGGAGGAAGAAAUUUGCAUCCACACCAAGUUGUUUCUCGUACUUUACACAGACUUGUCAUAUCCAGUGCCUACAUCAAGGGAAUGAUGCACUAGCAAUUCAGAACUCGGUUAAGAUGCGAAGCUCGGGUGAGUGACAAUAAUACAAGUAUGUAAUAUUCAAUAAAAACAUACCAUCGAUCAUAAUCUAUAAACAUUGAGUAUAGAGUCAUGCUUUAUGAAAUCAUAAUCAAGUCGCUGAAAACUCCGAAUGAGUCACCCAGACAUCCAACAGCCUUUCCCAUUCAAACCACCAAGAUUCCCAAAAACCAUCGUUCAUAUAUACAUUAAAACUAGGGCUAGAGGGAAGCAAUUCGGUCGAAGCCUACAUAAGUAACCAAACAGAAAGUGGCCCCCCCCAAAGCGGAUUAACCAAGCAGAGCCACCCUUGAGAAAGUAACCUAGUAGGCAGUGACCCCCCCCAACGCAGAUUAACCAAGCAGGGUCACGCUUACAUCUGUUAGGAAGUGAUCACCCAAUGCGGAUUAACCAAGCAUGAUCACUCCUAAGCAUACAUGGCCAUAAGGAUCACCCAAUAUGGAUUAACCAAGCGCGGUCCGCAUAUGUAGCAUGGUCCCCCAAUGCAGAUUAACCAAGCAGGGUCAAGAUAACCAAGUAGGUAGUGACUCCCCAAUGUGGAUUAACCAAGCAGAGUCAUACCUAUAGAACUGUUAGGCAGUGAUCACCCAAUGCGGAUUAACCAAGCAUGAUCACCCUUAAGUGUGUAUGGCCAUACCUAGGAUAUAAGGAUCGCCCAAUGUGGAUUAACCAAGCGCGAUCCACAAAUAGUAUGGUCCCCUAACGCGGAUUAACCAAGCAGGACCAUCCAUGUACCAUUGCUACGUGGUGCAGACUUAGUGUCACCUAACCCCAUGACACUAGGGUAACGGUCCUUUACAAUCUCUCAUAUUUAUCAAACCAUCAAAUAUAUAUUUCAAAACACAAUCCAGCAACAGUUCAAAUACCCAAGUCACAUAAUGUUUCAUAAGUAGAUCAAUGGCAAACUUUAUAACAACAAUUAUUUAGCAUAAGACUUAUUUUAAGAAUCCAUGGUGUAACCGCAAAGUAUAUUAGCACAGAAGAUUUCAGAGUAAUAACCAUAUCACAUAGAUUAAAAUCACUCACAUGAGGUCCGCACUAACGCACUCUAGCAUGGGAUUCAAGGCGUCAAGCUCUAUCACUGCCUAAAACAAAGCACAAGUCCACAUUUAGAUUUCUCUCAAUAAAUUCACAUACCCAAAACUCUCAUAAGUCUCCCACAACGACGUUUAAUGAGAAUCAGACCGUCGAUCAAAGGUAUAGUCCAUGAUCUUACAUCACUUGCUCCGUAAGAUCCAACCACUAGAUUUUCACUAGUAAGUCCCUACAGUCCUUAAACAAUAUCUACAAUAGCAUUCUAAAAUUUGGUGUCAAUUCAAUGGUAAGAUCGUCAAUUGCUAGAGUAUUCAAGUGGCGGACCUUAUCAAAAAUAUACUCAACCAACAGCAUUCAUAAAUCGAAUGUCACACAUCGGAAAAUUUGACUUUUUCCAAAAAUUCUCAAAUUUUACAAGAAUGAAGAUAUCAACAAGUAGAUGUGAGUGAAGCACAAUUGAGGGACAACAAGCAACUUUUUCGUCUCAAACUUGAUUUUGGAAAAGUGGUAUACGAGGCUAGAGACUGCAGUGUACAAAUAAUGAAAGUCUUCCGACCACACGAUGAUCUAGAAUAUUUAGAGAUUGAUUGGAAUUACAGUGAUGUGUAUUUUGGCUCGACCUUCCCGAAUUGGCUGAUAUCUUUAAACAAGUUGCGAUUCCUUAUUCUGUCAGGGAAUAAGGGUUGUCAAGUUUUGCCUCACCUUGGGAAAUUGCCCUUCCUUGAAGAACUCUACGUAGGGAGGAUAUUGGGUGUAAAAAAGGUUGGUGGCGAGUUUUUGGGAGUAGGAGAUGAUGAUCAAACAACUUCUUCAUUCAAAUCAUCCUCAUCAAUAUUAUUCCCAAAAUUGAAGCGACUCCGAUUUCACAGACUGACGUCUUGCAAGGACUGAGAAGGCGUGAAAGGGUGGAACGUGGAUUGUGAAAUUACAAUCAUGCCAUGUCUUUCUUCUUUAUAUAUAAUUCAGUGCUUUGACCUAGAAACACUGCUAGACUUCUUAUGGAAAACACCAUUGCAGAAUCUUAUCAUUUCUUCGUGUUCGCAACUUGCCAGACGUUGCAAAAAAGGACAGUGGCCCAAGAUUUCUGAAAUCCCAAACGUCGAGAUUGAUAAUUUCUAGUAUUCUAAUGUAGAAAUUGUAGUGCUUUGAAUUUUUUUUACUUCGUUUGGAUAAUGUACAAAUGCAAAUAAUUUAAGGUGUAAAGUGCAAAGUGCAAAAAAAAAAAAAAAAAAAAAAAGAAGAAGAAGAUUUUGGGCUUGAGUUGAGUAUCAUGGCUGUUUUUUUGUUUUGGGCCUUUCUAUAAGAAAAAUAUGCACGCGGCCCAAUUCAUCUUGAUCAUCAACAACAAUCGGCUGGAAAUAACUGGAGCACUUGACAGCUGAAAGCAGAGGGACACUGCAGGGAGGAUGUCGAAGCACGGUGAGGUUGUAUGCGUUACCGGUGGAAGCGGCUGCAUUGGAUCCUGGCUCGUCCUUCUCCUCCUCCACCGUGAUUACACCGUCCACGCCACCGUCAAGGAUCUCAGUAACUUUCCCCCUGCUUUUCACUUUAUCUACACAACUGCCACAAUGCCAUUCAUUUCAUUCCAAUUCCAUUCGCUUUCAGUCUAAAUUGAAUAAACGCCGUCAUUUUCUGUGUUGCAGAGGACGAGGACGAGACGAAGCAUCUAGAAGCGUUAGUAGAGGGAGCAGAGUCGCGCCUCCGUCUCUUCCAGAUUGACCUCCUCGACUACAACUCCAUACUCGCCGCCGUCAAUGGCUGCUCCGGUGUCUUCCACCUCGCCUCUCCCUGCAUCGUCGAUCAAGUCCACGACCCCGAG
This 40214-nucleotide long non-coding RNA is filed under the name Malus domestica (apple). RNAcentral's name for it is "long non-coding RNA (MDOM_LNC009981)". Lineage: Eukaryota; Viridiplantae; Streptophyta; Magnoliopsida; Rosales; Rosaceae. The record is from RNAcentral.